Molecule: ribosomal RNA, 233 nt
Filed under: Emiliania huxleyi
Lineage: Eukaryota; Haptophyta; Isochrysidales; Noelaerhabdaceae
Description: partial Eukaryotic large subunit ribosomal RNA
Rfam family: Eukaryotic large subunit ribosomal RNA
Source: RNAcentral
UAGACCGUCGUGAGACAGGUUAGUUUUACCCUACUGAUGGAGGGUCGUCGUAAUGGUAAUUGAACUUAGUACGAGAGGAACCGUUCAUUCAGAUAUUUGGUAUUUGCGCCUGUCCGAUCGGGCAAUGGCGCGAAGCUAUCAUCUGCUGGAUAAUGGCUGAACGCCUCUAAGCCAGAAUCCGUGCCAGAAACGACGAUGUUGGUCCCGCGUGUACUAGACGUGUUGGAAUAGAG